This 857-nucleotide long non-coding RNA is filed under the name Pan troglodytes (chimpanzee). RNAcentral's name for it is "long non-coding RNA NONPTRT008813". Lineage: Eukaryota; Metazoa; Chordata; Mammalia; Primates; Hominidae. The record is from RNAcentral.
AGGUGCAGCUGCAGGGGAUGACACCAAAGAUGCAAGCACUGAGUUCACUGACAGUAUUGAGGAGGCCGCACACCAUAGUCACCAGCAACUCAUCAAGGUGGCUUUGGAGAAAAGUCUGGCAAUUGUGGAGACCCAGAACCCAUCUUUUUCCCCUCCUUCCCCGAUGGGAGGGGACAGUAACAGGUGUCUUCAAGGAAGAAAUGCUCCACCUGAGGGCUGAGAUCCACCAGCACUUAGAAGAGAAGAGGAAAGCUGAGGAGGAACUGAAGGAGCUAAAGGCUCAAACUGAGGAAGCAAGAUUCUCCUCAGUGUCCCACAUCAGGAAUACCGUGCUGAGCCUUUGCCUUGAGAAUGCAGAGCUGAAAGAGCAGAUGGGAGAAGCAAUGUCUGAUGGAUGGGAGAUCGAGGAAGACAAGGAGAAGAGCGAGGUGAUGGUUGAGACUGGUAGCCAAAGAGGGUCUGAGUGAGAGUAGCCUUCAGGCUGAGUUCAGAAAGCUCCAGGGAAAACUGAAGAAUGCCCACAAUAUCAUCAACCUCCUCAAAGAACAACUUGUGCUGAGUAGCAAGGAAGGGAAUAGUAAACUUACUCCAGAGCUCCUUGUGCAUCUGACCAGCACCAUCGACGGAAUAAACACAGAACUGGUUGGUUCCCCUGGGAAGCACCAACACCAAGAGGAGGGGAAUGUGACUGUGAGGCCUUUCCCCAGACCCCAGAGCCUUGACCUUGGGGCUACCUUCACAGUGGAUGCCCACCUAGUAAGUGUGGGCUUAGAUUGAGUGAAAAACAAUUGGAGAAGGGCUUGAGAUGACAGUGUUUACCUUAAAACAUUCUCCCAUAUGAAUCAGGAGGUACCAAG